CACUAGAUGACUGAAAAUUAAGUAAUGAUCUCUUAAAUCAUUUUAUGGUAUAUUUAUAAAUACCUCUAGUGA
Molecule: transfer RNA, 72 nt
Filed under: Euceros serricornis
Lineage: Eukaryota; Metazoa; Arthropoda; Insecta; Hymenoptera; Ichneumonidae
Description: tRNA-Lys
Source: RNAcentral